AUGAGGAGGAUCAGCUCGCCAAAAGGAAGAAACUUAAUAGGAAGGGUUUCUGAAUUGAUAAAUCCUACAACAAACCAAUGGGAUGUUGACCUGAUAAAGCAAACAUUCUGUCCAGAAGAUGCAAAUAUAAUUCUUCAGAUACCUAUUCAAGAACAAACAGGUGACUUCCUAGCUUGGCAUUAUGACAAAAAGUGUCUCUUCUCAGUAAAGUCGGCAUACAGGGUGGCAGUAGAUAAUGUAGUAAGAGAAUCUUCUGCAGGACUAACUUCAACUUCUAAUGCAGAAAUAGAGAAUUCAGGGUUCGAUUGGAAGAAGCUAUGGGCACUUCCCCUACCAAGCAAAGCCAAGACUCAAGGGAAAGAGAAGAGCACCAGGAAAAUGCAGAAAUGGAAAUCACCUCCAGUGGGGAACCUGAAGAUUAAUUUUGAUGGGGCUUUCAUCGAGGCAUCAAAUAUAGGAGGCUGGGGUUUCAUGCUUAGAAAUGAUCAAGGAGUUUUAUUGGCUGCUGGUGCAGUGGUUAGCCUCGCUCUUUGGAAGCGUGAGGGCGCGAGACCGAUCUCGGUCGGGAGCACUUUUUCGGUCGCCUUUUUUCACGACGCGCCAUUGUGGGCCGGCGCAUCCAGCCGCGGCUGCAGGCGCCGGUUAGCUUGCGCGGCGCUGAAGGCGCUGACUAGGAGUUCCCUUACGUAG
RNAcentral lists this ribosomal RNA (690 nucleotides) under Triticum aestivum (bread wheat). RNAcentral describes it as "partial small subunit ribosomal RNA". The record is from RNAcentral. Lineage: Eukaryota; Viridiplantae; Streptophyta; Magnoliopsida; Poales; Poaceae.